AGUCAGGGACACAUUCCAGCUGGUUUCUAUAAAAAAUAAAUCAACACAAGCCAUCAUUUAUGAUGAUGAGUGGAACUCAUUUCAUUAGUCUGUAAUAUACCUGUUAAUUGGCCCAUGAGCCCCUUGAGGGCAGGAGCACUAUAACUAAGCGUUCUUGGUCCACUACCAGAAUGCACGAGGUGCUCAAGGAAUGUCGCUGAUAGAGAAGUGGACAGAGAUAAGCACCCAAACAUGUAUACUCCUGGAUCAUAUACUGCAUGCCCAAAGAAGAUACAAAGGCUCUCAACAGCAGGAAAGCAUACAUACGAUGGGAUGACUGAAGGAGAGAUGUGGAAAGACUUAAUGGAAGAAGUGGCAUUUUAAACAAACCUUUGAAGAUGCCAACAGAUAUUACUUAGUCUCUCUUGGCCUCAAUGUACCUACUGAUCAGUCGAUUGAGACGACAAGGCAGAAUGAAGUGAGGGCUGUAAGAGAAAUGCAGAUACGGCUACGCUGGCUGAGUGAAAGAAGCACUUUGUCCGGAAUGGAUCAAGGCAAGCUCCCCAAGAAACAGGGCAUGUGAGUUAGAAUUUGAAGAAUGUGGGACAAUGACCUGAAGAGAGGAGGACAUUCUAAGAAAGAGGGGACAACAUGAGUGAGAACACAAAGGCAAAGAAAGACAUGGCAUGGAACAUGUGGGAAUUAUAACAAGCAGUUUGGGGAAACGGAGCAGAGAGUGGUAAGAAACAGGCUGGAGAAAACGAAAUCAUGUCCAGAAGACUGUGCCUUUACCCUGGAGGUAUAGGGGGAUCACUGAAGAAUUAGUAAGUAAGUACAAUGUCAGUUUUGUAAUUUAAAAAGUUCACUCUGUGGCUACACUGAGGUCUGGUUGAGAUGAUUAAUUAGUAAAAGGAAGACUAAUCAGGAAGCUGUUACAGAAUUUCAGACAAGAGAUGAUAUAGGCCUAAGUGAGUGGUGAUACAUGUGGAAGGGAGGGAGGGACUUCAGAAGUAUUUAGAUUUCUUGUGCCUCAAAACUACCAAAUUAUCCACAUAUGCCUUUUAAAUAUUAGCAAUCAAACAAGCACCACCUUUAUGAAGCACACUCACCUGGAAAGUUCUAAAGAUGUGAGAAGACUGGGUACUGGAUAGACAUUCACUGCUGUCAGCCCUAAUUGAAAAACAAAAGGGCGUCAGUAACGUUGUCUAAAGAAGAAAGUAACUGAAAAUAAAUAAGGAAAAAGUGACAGCGUCAGAAAGAAAACAGGCCACCUACUGACAUGAACUAAAGACAAAAGCCACUGGGUAACGCACAUGAAUUGCGUGGUCCCAAUUUGAAGACCAAAUACAACAAAUGAAGGAUCGUGUGUACUGCACUGGACUCACGCCAGACCAGGCAGCUGUUAACAGUAACUACUUAAUUUUUUUAAAAAUUGAUAACACGAUUUUCACUGGCAAUAUUUUAACUUUCAACUACAGUACAACAUAGAUACAGAAAAGGGCAACAAUCUUAUGUGCACAGAUCGCUACAUUUUUACACACAGCACACACCAGUGUAGCCAGUGCCCACUUAGGAAGCGGAUCAUUACCAGCUCCCAGGAGCUUCCUCUCAUCCGCCUUCCAGUCUCUGCCCCUCGCCGCCCUCGCUCCCUAUACCACAGGCUACUUUUGCUUAUUUACAUAAAUUACACAUACAGUCUGUAAAGUUUCUGAUCUGGCUUCAUUCACUCCUUAUUGCACUUGUGGGAUCUGUUCACAUUACUGCAUGUGGGUGUAGUUCAUUCUUUCUCCCAGCAGUACGAAACUGUUUAUAUGACUGUA
Molecule: long non-coding RNA, 1799 nt
Organism: Myotis davidii
Lineage: Eukaryota; Metazoa; Chordata; Mammalia; Chiroptera; Vespertilionidae
Exons: 2
Source: RefSeq, a predicted model, not a curated record